ACUCCUACGGGAGGCAGCAGUGGGGAAUAUUGCACAAUGGGCGCAAGUCUGACGGAGCAAUGCCGCGUGAGUGAUGAAGGUUUUCGAAUCGUAAAGCUCUGUUGUAAGGGAAGAAUAGCAAGGAUAGGAAAUGCUCCUUGUCUGACGGUACCUUACCAGAAAGCCACGGCUAACUACGUGCCAGCAGCCGCGGUAAUACGUAGGUGGCAAGCGUUAUCCGGAAUUAUUGGGCGUAAAGCGCAUGUAGGCGGCUUUUUAAGUCUGAUGUGAAAGCCAGUGGCUCAACCACUGAAUUGCAUUGGAUACUGGAAAGCUAGAAUCUUGGAGAGGUAAGUGGAAUUUCAUGUGUAGCGGUGGAAUGCGUAGAUAUAUGAAGGAACACCAAUGGCGAAGGCAGCUUACUGGACAAGUAUUGACGCUGAGAUGCGAAAGUGUGGGUAGCAAACAGGAUUAGAUACCCUGGUAGGAUAGCGU
Molecule: ribosomal RNA, 474 nt
Filed under: uncultured bacterium
Lineage: Bacteria
Description: bacterial SSU rRNA
Rfam family: Bacterial small subunit ribosomal RNA
Source: RNAcentral